Molecule: long non-coding RNA, 3900 nt
Organism: Cyprinus carpio carpio
Lineage: Eukaryota; Metazoa; Chordata; Actinopteri; Cypriniformes; Cyprinidae
Source: Ensembl
AUGCAGAAUGUCUUUAACCACAGCCACAAUUUAAUCUUUCAUUUCCUUCGACCCCCUUCCAAUCUCUACCUUUCCAUUCCCUCCUUUCUCUGCACAUUUCCUGCUUUUAUUUUGCCUGUGUCUUGCUAUCUCCCUCUGCAAUGUUUUGUUUUCUGUUGUGUGACAUGUUUUUGCUUUUUAAAAAUAGGUUCGUUACUCAUUUCGGCUUGUUUUCAUUCCGGCUUGUCAUCAUUCCAAAAAAAAAAAAAAAAACACCUAUCCAGAUAAAUCGCGCCAUCCGGAUGAAGUAAAGUUGAUUGUGGUUGGAUGAGAAGUAUAAACAUAUACCAUUCCGACACCCUAUUGGUUUGUACGCGAUCCAUAGCACCUGCACAUGACACAGAUCACAUCACACUCCAGUAAGGGCAUAGCCAGUGUUGGGUUCGUAUAUCAAAAAAUAUAUUUCUUAAAAGUAGGGUUGGGGUAUGGAACCGGUAUGCACCGAACCGAAUAAGGACACAGAUUCCGGUGCCUCUUAAAUGCCUGAGCGAUCGAUUGAAAUGUUUGUCCUGGUUCUCCGAAAUGUAGGCCUACACAAGAAGCUUGGGCGUCGCUAGGCUUUUUUAUAGGGGCUAUAGCAUUUAGCUCCAUAAACUGUACUCAAAUUCGCGAUCGCCUCAGAGUCAGUCCCCUUAAAUUUCAUAUGAAAAAGGCGGCAGACCGGUCUACUCUCCGUCUUUCAGCGCGCUCUUCAAUCCACAGACGGCGGUGGAGCAGCGCGAGCGCACUUAAACAGAAACAGAGGACACAAGGUUUGUGUUUAUCGAUAGAUUGUUAGAAUAUCUGUAUCUGUGCAGUUCUUUGUCAUAAAUACAAAAAGGUUUACAAAAGGUCACGAGGGAGCAGGCGGUUUCUGUAAAGUUUUUGCUUGUCACCGCUCAUCACACCACAGCUGUUCCCUCCAGCGACAAUCUAGCCCUUAACACAUAUAAACGAUCGCAUACUUCAAUUGUACUCAGGCGCGCUGGAAGCUGUUUCAUGCUGGGGGGGCUGAGGGCUGGGUUGGAAAAUAUGUGACGUCAUUAUGUUGUGACUGACGACAUUAAAUUUCUCUACUAGUCUUCUCCCCUGGCGUGAUUGUUACUGUUUUAUACACAAAAAUUGUACUUGAUGUACUUGUACUUUGAUGUUUAAUAAAAAUAAUAAUAAAAAAAAAAAAAAAAUCUCUGUACUGUUUAGGCUAUGUGUUGUAGCCAUUAAAGAAAACAUAUUUGGUUUCAUAUUUGUUUAAAUAUUAUAGGCUAAUGUAUUUUUUUUAUUUAUUUAAUCAAUGUUUAUUAUGAAAGUGAGCAUGCAGCAUGAGAAAGAUAUGAUACAUCAUGCGCAAUAGCCUAUGAAACAUGGAGUGGGUAAGACAUGAUUUUGACCACUUUAUUGAGUUUUGUUUUGUAGAAAGACUCUGUUUAAAAGAUUUUUCGUUUUUGUAUAAAUUGUAUCUUAAUUUUUGAUCAAUAUUUUAUCAACCCAUUGCCUGUAUUUAAUAAACAAGCAAAUAUAUUAGCAGACAAUGUAAUAAGGUACCGGCACAUCACUUGUAUUGCACGUGAACUGGAGGGCGCAGAAACUCAGCUUGUGCCUCACAGACAGUUUUGAGAAAUAUAGGCUAUCUAUUAUAAAAAGCUUAAAAAUGUCUACUUUUAAACGAAAAUAUUCAAAACGAAAAUAAAUAGGCUACUCUCUGAAUAUGUAGGCCUAAUCCAUAUGAAAUGUGCAUUUCUCUCUGGCGUUCAUGGCGAGUCUGCAUCGUCUUUGCAGCGACACAGAAAACACCAUUUUAUUAAUAAACAAUUAAAUGUCUCCUUGCUAUUUUUGACAAAUUCAUAAUCAUUUCUUCAGCCGGUUCUUUGUGGCAAAAUUAUGCAUGCGGUCGUGCGCUUGAGAGCGGCUAGUAAACGCCCAUUAUUCUGACGGAAGCCAAUUAUUCUGACGGUGACGGAAGCAUUCCUGAGGAGGCUAGGUUAGUCUUUUAUCAACGAAAUAUUAAAAUAAUUAAUCAUUAGUUUAUAUCUUAUACACUAUAUCUUAAUCCCACAUUAAACACAUUGUUAUGUCUGUUUUUUAUUUUUAUUUUUUUCACGUUUUUAAGUACAAUAUUAGGUUAGUCCACAGCCCCCCACCAGGGGGGGCUGAUGCUAUGACGGGGGGGGCUGCAGCCCCCGCAGCACCCCCCUUCCCGCGCCAUUGAUUGUACUUAUUUAAAUAUACUGAAUUAAAUCAUACGUACUUUAUACAUACACUACUGUGUAAAAGUCUUAGGCACGUUAGUGUUUUCACCCCAAAGAAUGGUGUUCGGACAGUUAUUUAUAUAUUUUGCUGUAGUGUGUCAGUAGAAAAUCAGUUUACAUUUCCAAACAUUCAUUUUGCCGUUGUCAGACUGCUUGUGCAUUCAAAAUCACACUAGAUUAUUAUUAAAAUUAAUGGCAAACUGAUAUUUCCUACUGACACACUACAGCAAAAGAUAUAAAUAAAUGGCUUAAACCCCUUUUUGGGGUGAAAAUACUAAUGUGCCUAAGACUUUUGCACAGUACUGUACUUUACAAACGACAUUGUUGCUACUUUAUAAAGAAUGACCAUACAGUCAUUCACAGAACUGCUUAAAGACAGUGACAGACACCACUCAUUUUAACUAAAUAUCAGAGUGAUUGACAGAGAUACAGUAGAAACAUUAUGUGUGCUUUUGUAUUAAAUAAUGACCCAGAUUGUGAAAUACAUUUAUUAGCCUUAGAGUAAGGGAAGCACAACUUGGCAAAUGAGAGCAUCCAAGGUGAAAGCUAUGGAUUUAUUUUUAAAUAUUUGUAAUGUUCUUUAUUGUUAAUCCAGUGUGGCUCUUUUUUAAGUAUCGUUUCAGGCACCGUUUAGGCACCGGUACCAUUUUAAAAGUAUCGAAAUGGCACCGGACCCUACUUAAAAGUUAUUAUUUCUCAACUACUGGCUCAUUUAUCAAAUGGGUGCUUUCUCUUCAUCCUCCGCAAAUUAAGCUACUGUAGGUAGUCCGGUAACUAGACGUUUGAAUAAAUUAGCGUUUGCGAUUGACAAUGUGAAAGUCGUGACAUUUGCCAAGUAUGUUAACCCAUACUCGGAAUUGGUGCUCUGCAUUUAACCCAUCCAAGUGCACACACACAGCAGUGAGAAGUGAACACACCGUGAACACACACCCGGAGCAGUGGGCAGCUAUAUAUCCAGCGCCUGGGGAGCAACUGGGGGUUCAGUGCCUUCCUCAAGGGCACUUCAGCUAUGGGUAUUGAGGGUGGAAGAGAGCGCUGUUCAUUCACUCCCUCCCACCUACAACUCCUGCCAGCACCGAUACUCAAACCUGUGACCUUCAGGUUACAAGUCCAACUCUCUAACCAUGUAGCGAAUACAGGAAGCUAUCGAUCAAGAAGGUAUUAGGAUUAUGAAUUAUUUUUCAUUUUUAUUUUUUGAUUAAUCACUUGGAUUAAUCAUUCAUUUUGACAGCACUAAUGUUUAUUGUAAAUAGACAACCAUACAAGGGUAAUUGUUACUAAGCCUGCCCUGGGUACACCAAUUUUCUUGUUCAUUGCCCUCGCAGAUUCCUGCAGCUAAGCUUGGAUGUACAUUAAAUACAUUCCAUUAAAGGUUAUUGAUGACAUGCCUCUGAAGUUUGACUUUUUGCACCAUUACAAUACUUAUAGGCAACUAGUCAUCAUAUCUCUAGUUCUUUAAUGUAUUUGCAUUGUACUAAAGUGUGUUCAUUUUCAAUGGGCAUAUAUGCGGCUGAAACAGGUAAUCUAGUGCAUCCCAAAUUUUUCAACAUGAAUAUUUUAAUAUAACAUUAUAGUCAUUAUGGCCUAUAGCCUUUAGAAAAAUGUUUUUUUGAGGAGGUGGGGUAGUGCACAAUAG